This 530-nucleotide ribosomal RNA is filed under the name uncultured cyanobacterium. RNAcentral describes it as "bacterial SSU rRNA". It matches the Rfam family "Bacterial small subunit ribosomal RNA", at positions 59 to 623 of the family's 1533-position model. The record is from RNAcentral. Lineage: Bacteria; Bacillati; Cyanobacteriota.
AAGUCGAACGACCUUCUGGUUAUUGCCGCACGGGUAUAGUACGCGUGGCGAUCUGCCCUCAGGAGGGGGAUAACGGUGGGAAAGGGCCGUCUAAUACCCCAUUUGCCGAGAGUGUGAAAUGAUUUUUCCGCGAGAGGAAGACCCCGCGACAUAGAAUAGAAUUGUUGGGGAGGAGAGACCUCACCGACGAUCUCGAUAAGUAGGUGGUCAGAGAAGAUGAUCACCCACACUGGGAGUGAGACAUGGCCCAGACCCCUACCAGAGGCAGAAGGGGAGAAUUUCUCCGAAUUGGACGAAAGCCUGACAGAUCAACCCCGCGUGAAGGAUGAAAGCCUCGGGGCUGUACACCUCUUUUAUCAAGAAAGAAUAUCUGAUUGCUACUUUGAUGAAUAAACAACUGAUUAUUCCGUGCCUGCCACCCGCAGAAAUAGCGGGAGGGGAAAUACUUAUCCUCAAUUGUUGGAAGAAAAAGGGCCGCAACGGGAACCCGCAAGUCUGGAGCUUAAAAAGGGAGCUUCAAUCCCGUCUGG